Molecule: long non-coding RNA, 643 nt
Filed under: Fukomys damarensis (Damara mole-rat)
Lineage: Eukaryota; Metazoa; Chordata; Mammalia; Rodentia; Bathyergidae
Description: lncRNA (ENSFDAG00000021790.1)
Source: RNAcentral
CUCCUCCUUCUGCAGUGGGGGCCGAAUGGCAGAUGCUACCCAAAUGUAUUCAUUAAUCAGAAGAGGCUUUCGCCCCCUGACGCCUCUGGGCCUCAGGCAGCCAGAAUCUCCGCCCGAGCUGCAGGGCAGGAGGCGCCUCCCUCCUAGCGCCCUUAGCAAAGAGACGGGGCGUCAGACAUAAACACUGCCCGGAGUCUGAGGAGAGAAGGGUUCCAUUGUGUUCUGAAUGCGGGUUUCCAGACAAGAUGCUCCUGGGGUCCCGCGCCUCCUCCAGAAGCUCCGUGAGCUCGGAGGAGCAAAGAGCAGCGCGCCACAGCCACAGCAGCCGGGGAACCUCGCCGCGCGGGUCUGCACCAGCCUCCGCCUCGCCUCCCAGCCCUCUGGUCCUGUUUGCCUUCCAGCCGAAGUCGGGCCCAAAUUAAUUCUCUGCACUUUGAGAAGCUCGCAGCAGCUGAGGAGAAGCCAGAGCAUCCGUGCUCAGCUAAAGCCACAGGGAAGAAACUGCAACCUGGAGAGAAUAAGCAGAGCAUCAAAUUCCACAGAUCUACUGGAGGGGAAAAAGGAGGAAAAAAAAGCAACCAGAGAGUCUUUAUUUCACCAGAUGGUCCCAGAAUUUCCACUCAGGUAACCUAGUUUAAUAGGC